AGGGAAUCUUCCGUAAUGGACGAAAGUCUGACGGAGCAACGCCGCGUGAGUGAUGAAGGUUUUCGGAUCGUAAAGCUCUGUUGCCAGGGAAGAACGUCUUAGAGAGUAACUGCUCUAAGAGUGACGGUACCUGAGAAGAAAGCCCCGGCUAACUACGUGCCAGCAGCCGCGGUAAUACGUAGGGGGCGAGCGUUGUCCGGAAUUAUUGGGCGUAAAGCGCGCGCAGGCGGCUGUUUAAGUCUGGUGGUUAAUCCUGGGGCUCAACCCCGGGUCGCACUGGAAACUGGGCAGCUUGAGUGCAGAAGAGGAGAGUGGAAUUCCACGUGUAGCGGUGAAAUGCGUAGAGAUGUGGAGGAACACCAGUGGCGAAGGCGACUCUCUGGUCUGUAACUGACGCUGAGGCGCGAAAGCGUGGGGAGCAAAC
Molecule: ribosomal RNA, 424 nt
Filed under: uncultured bacterium
Lineage: Bacteria
Description: bacterial SSU rRNA
Rfam family: Bacterial small subunit ribosomal RNA
Source: RNAcentral